AGAGUUUGAUCAUGGCUCAGAACGAACGCUGGCGGCAGGCCUAACACAUGCAAGUCGAGCGCGCCCUUCGGGGUGAGCGGCGGACGGGUUAGUAACGCGUGGGAAUAUACCCGACACUAAGGAAUAGCCUCUGGAAACGGAGAGUAAUACCUUAUACGCCCUUCGGGGGAAAGAUUUAUCGGUGACGGAUUAGCCCGCGUUAGAUUAGAUAGUUGGUGGGGCAAUGGCCUACCAAGUCUACGAUCUAUAGCUGGUUUUAGAGGAUGAUCAGCAACACUGGGACUGAGACACGGCCCAGACUCCUACGGGAGGCAGCAGUGGGGAAUCUUGGACAAUGGGCGCAAGCCUGAUCCAGCCAUGCCGCGUGAGUGAUGAAGGCCUUAGGGUCGUAAAGCUCUUUCGCCAGAGAUGAUAAUGACAGUAUCUGGUAAAGAAACCCCGGCUAACUCCGUGCCAGCAGCCGCGGUAAUACGGAGGGGGUUAGCGUUGUUCGGAAUUACUGGGCGUAAAGCGCGCGUAGGCGGAUUAGUAAGUUAGAGGUGAAAUCCCGGGGCUCAACCCCGGAACUGCCUUUAAUACUGCUAGUCUUGAGUUCGAGAGAGGUGAGUGGAAUUCCGAGUGUAGAGGUGAAAUUCGUAGAUAUUCGGANGAACACCAGUGGCGAAGGCGGCUCACUGGCUCGAUACUGACGCUGA
Molecule: ribosomal RNA, 695 nt
Filed under: uncultured Alphaproteobacteria bacterium
Lineage: Bacteria; Pseudomonadati; Pseudomonadota; Alphaproteobacteria
Description: bacterial SSU rRNA
Rfam family: Bacterial small subunit ribosomal RNA
Source: RNAcentral